AUUCUAUAAAUACACACUUAGACAUAUAAGCUUAUAGAAACCAAAAACCAUACUCAAGACUCAUUAUGACUAGCUCUAUGAAGAAAAUGAUUCUUAUCAUUUUCAUCACAACCAUGGUUUUAUCUCCGACAAGUUUUAUCUCUUGUCUCGCAGGUAAGUAAACUGCUUAGUUAACUGAUUUAAUUUGAGAAUUUACCUAUCAAUUUAGAGUUUUUUUUAUGUAUCUCUAUUCGCAUAUGAAGAUGUUCAUGCUACUGAAAGUCCCACCGAACCAGCAGGCAAGAACAUUGACAAACCUCAUCACUAAAUAAUCAGAACAUUAAUGAGAGCAUUUUCAAUAUUAAUUUAUCUUAUUUGUAAACAUUUUUUAAUGAUUAUUUUGUAGCCUCUCACGUUACUGGAGGUGAUAAAGUAGCAUGUCCUGCUUGCCGCUGCUGUGAAGGCCCAAAACCUCCACCGGGAACUUGUUGCCGUUGUUGUUAAAUGUUAAUUAAGCUCAAAAAUCAACUUCCUCGUAAACUUUAGUUAAGCCUCUUAAUUACUAUUAGGGUUCAAUAUCUACUUAUGUUGUUGUAGUGUUGUGUAUUCGUACUUGUCUUGACCAAAUAAAAGUGUAGCUAGCCGCUUAAAUCCAUCCGUUGUUAGGAUGGUGCUUUGGCCAAAGUGAUUCGAAUAUACCUUUUAUACACAAAUACAUGUUUA
Molecule: RNA transcript, 702 nt
Organism: Arabidopsis thaliana (thale cress)
Lineage: Eukaryota; Viridiplantae; Streptophyta; Magnoliopsida; Brassicales; Brassicaceae
Exons: 1
Source: RefSeq